GCCGGGCAUGGUGGCUUAUGCCUGUAAUCCCAGCAUUUUGGGAGGCUGAGACGGGUGGAUCACCUGAGGUGGGGAGUUCCAGACCAGCCCAACCAACAUGGAGAAACCCCGUCUCUA
This is a non-coding RNA of Chlorocebus sabaeus (green monkey), 117 nucleotides long. It matches the Rfam family "Metazoan signal recognition particle RNA". From Rfam's summary of the family: The signal recognition particle (SRP) is a universally conserved ribonucleoprotein. It is involved in the co-translational targeting of proteins to membranes. The record is from Rfam. NCBI's taxonomy places the organism in Eukaryota, Metazoa, Chordata, Mammalia, Primates, Cercopithecidae.